Purpureocillium takamizusanense is the source of this 98-nucleotide non-coding RNA. NCBI's taxonomy places the organism in Eukaryota, Fungi, Ascomycota, Sordariomycetes, Hypocreales, Ophiocordycipitaceae. The record is from the annotation of a RefSeq genome assembly.
GACACUUUGGCCGAGUGGUUAAGGCGAUGCCCUGCUAUUGCGCACAGUAUAUCAAGGCAUUGGGUUCGCCCGCGCAGGUUCGAAUCCUGCAGGUGUCG